ACCAGCAAAACCGAAGCUAUUGGAAAACCUUCCUGUGUGCCAAAGCGAGAGAGCAUGUCUUCUUUCUCUAGAUUUUGGACGGCACAACGCCGAUCGUGUGGCCUAUGAACGAAAAACGGGAGAAGGGGAAACCGAUAUCCUUCGAGUGACACACACGCAUGCAUCUGCAUGCGUAUUCCGCUGAACCGAGACUACACAUCUCUCUCGAUCUCCCAUGAUUUUUCUGCUAUCGCGCUCAUCUGGGUGUUAGGCAUCCUCAGUCUGUCCAGAACUUUCACUUUGAUGUGUUGGAGUGAUGUGUGAUUUCUUGUGCCCCGUACUUUGCUCGUUUACGUUUUGUGCCGUGUUCCUUCUUCUUCAAUUAUGAAAUGAUUUAUCCUUGUAAAUUUCUAAGUUACAGUGCACGCGCAUGUUAAUCGACGGUUGCCAACAUCCCGCAAAACGAUCGACGGAAGGAAAACGGUGUCCGGUUUUAAAAUAUAAAGAUAUCAUCACAGCUCUUUCGUAGAAGAGCGCACUUCAAGGAUGCAUAGGAUACGGCUAAACAUGCGCAGCACCAGUCCGUGACGUCAUUUCCAGACAGGCGCCGGCUGAACACGCGCAGCACCAGUCGAGGAUAUCCUAGCGCAGAGGGUAGAAGGAAGAACGAGAGGAAGGGUAACAGAAAGCAACCGCAGCAUUUGGAAGGGGUGAAGCAUCCUGCCGUAUACAGAGUGUGAGUGUACCAAAACGCAUGUGGAAAGAGUAACACCAAUAAAUAGCAUGCGAAAGUGUGCAUAAAGCAAAAAGAAAAAGCGUCACUACUACAACCAGCAAUCCGAAAAUAUAAGGGGAGGGAUAAAUACAAAUGUAUGCGUAAGCAGGACCAGCAAUCCAAGCAUUUGAAUGUGUGCGUCGGUUUGCGCCGUGCUGAAAGUUUUUACUUUAGCUGCUGCUAGUGUAAAAACUUAAGGAAAGCUUAAAGUAAAAAUUUUUUACACGGGGCACCUUCGGAAAUUGUUGGCUGGGUUGAUGCGUUGUCUAUGCGGCUUGCUCGGUAUCACAGCGGCAUACGACAGGUAAGCAGUACAAAGGCUGCUACCU
Anopheles gambiae (African malaria mosquito) is the source of this 1083-nucleotide long non-coding RNA. RefSeq lists it as uncharacterized. The record is from RefSeq and is a predicted model, not a curated record. The transcript has 3 exons. NCBI's taxonomy places the organism in Eukaryota, Metazoa, Arthropoda, Insecta, Diptera, Culicidae.